RNAcentral lists this transfer RNA (76 nucleotides) under Codium arenicola. RNAcentral's name for it is "Codium sp. 'arenicola' tRNA-Thr". It matches the Rfam family "tRNA". Rfam says of the family: Transfer RNA (tRNA) molecules are approximately 80 nucleotides in length. The record is from RNAcentral. Lineage: Eukaryota; Viridiplantae; Chlorophyta; Ulvophyceae; Bryopsidales; Codiaceae.
GCCUAUUUAGCUUAACUGGUAGAGCAUCGGUCUUGUAAACCGAGGGUUGUUGGUUCAAUUCCAAUAAUAGGCUCCA